GAUGAAAACGUAGCGAAAUGCGAUAAGUAAUGUGAAUUGCAGAAUUCAGUGAAUCAUCGAAUCUUUGAACGCACAUUGCGCCCCCUGGCAUUCCGGGGGGCAUGCCUGUUCGAGCGUCAUUACAACCCUCAAGCUCUGCUUGGUAUUGGGCUCUGCUGGGACCGGCAGGCCUUAAAAUCAGUGGCGGCGCCACUCGGCUUCAAGCGUAGUAAUUCUUCUCGCUUCGGAGACCCGGGUGCGUGCUAGCCAGCAACCCCCAACUUUCUUAGGUUGACCUCGGAUCAGGUAGGGAUACCCGCUGAACUUAAGCAUAUCAAUAAGCGGAGGA
RNAcentral lists this unclassified non-coding RNA (328 nucleotides) under soil metagenome. RNAcentral describes it as "partial contains 5.8S ribosomal RNA, internal transcribed spacer 2, and large subunit ribosomal RNA". The stretch from base 1 to 119 matches the Rfam family "5.8S ribosomal RNA", at positions 35 to 154 of the family's 154-position model. The record is from RNAcentral.